GCCUGGGUGGCUUAGUCGGUUAAGCGUCAGACUUCGGCUCAGGUCAUGAUCUUGCAGUUCGUGGGUUCAAGCCCCACUUCGGGCU
Molecule: transfer RNA, 85 nt
Filed under: Felis catus (domestic cat)
Lineage: Eukaryota; Metazoa; Chordata; Mammalia; Carnivora; Felidae
Rfam family: tRNA
About the family: Transfer RNA (tRNA) molecules are approximately 80 nucleotides in length. Their secondary structure includes four short double-helical elements and three loops (D, anti-codon, and T loops).
Source: Rfam by way of RNAcentral